UGAGCAACCUGCCCAUAGCUCUGGGAUAACCCCGGGAAACCGGGGCUAAUACCGGAUACGAGUCCGAGCGGCAUCACGCGGACUGGAAAGUUUUUCGGCUAAGGAUGGGCUCGCGGCCUAUCAGCUUGUUGGUGGGGUAAUGGCCUACCAAGGCGACGACGGGUAGCCGGCCUGAGAGGGCGACCGGCCACACUGGGACUGAGACACGGCCCAGACUCCUACGGGAGGCA
This 230-nucleotide ribosomal RNA is filed under the name uncultured bacterium. RNAcentral describes it as "partial 16S ribosomal RNA". It matches the Rfam family "Bacterial small subunit ribosomal RNA", at positions 118 to 350 of the family's 1533-position model. The record is from RNAcentral.